GGAGAUCCCUCUGUGGAGUCUUUCCUGCAAACUUAGAUCUUUAGAUACAGAUGUGCAUGAGGAAGAAGAUAGGACUCAAUAUGGAGAAAGCUGUUAUGAAGGAAGCACAACAACAUCCAACCUGUGGUGUGUGAUCUGUCUGCAGCCUGGCCCAGCUGGCAAGCAACUUAUGGAUAUGUUCUUCACUCAAUGCAGCCCGGGCAAGCCAAAGAGUUGGACACCAUGAGCCAGAACAAGUCUUCCCUUUCUCUGAUGGAUCACCUUUUGAUGAGACAAAAACUUUCUGUGCCAGGGAAGCACAGAGGUGAUUGACUUGUCAAGUCAGUGAGGGCUUCUUUACUGGGAUAUUAAUUCAUGUUUUCUGAAGCUCACUGUAGUGUCUGCUUCAUCAAGCACAUCUUUCUAGUAAAAAAUAGGUCCUUAUUCCUAACCUAUGGACUAUAAAUCUCCUAAGCUAUGUCUCUGGGUACCUGUAAAAUUGCUGAGUACAUAAAGAGCAGAGUCAUCAUCAGAAUAACAACAAUAACAUUUUUUGACUACACAACUCAGCUACAUGCUGUGGAUGUGGGUUUACCAAGGAGACAGACUAUUGCUAGCUUCCUUUCUGACUUGCAGACUUCAUAUCUCAAUUGCACUGCCUGUAACUGCUAUAUUAAUACAUACUGUAUAUUUUAAUACAUAUUGUAUGAUAUCUUAGGCAAUAACAUAUUGAUGUGAAAUUCUAUAAAAUGUUGUAACAUUCUUCUUGAAAAAACAAGAUAAAAUGACACUAAAAUAAAAAUGAAGGAUUUAUACUUGUUUGAAUUUCACACAAUGGUUGUGCCUUUGAGAAGCCAAUAGUUAUUAUGUUGAAAAAGGUAAAUCUAUAAAUAAGAUUUAAAGAACACAGAUGCAUAAAGCACAGAGGAAAGAGUGGUUUUCUGGAGUCUAAAUGUACCUGCCACUUGCUUGCUUCUGAUCUCAGUCAACAUGAGUAAAUUAGGUUGCUGCUUUUCAUCAUCUGUUCUCAGAUUGGUGUCAAGGACUACUUUAGUGUCUCAGAACACAUUUUAUGUUAGGAAUAUAUGACCAGUGUGGAAGUGAAAGUGGGCCCUGUUGGCACCACAGGCAUGCGUGGAGGGAGAGGGCAAGAGUUUUUAGAGCAGACCAGCCAGAAAGUAACUGGUCAGUUGAACAGCUGAUAUUGAGAAGAGGCCAUCACAGGAUC
Long non-coding RNA from Phasianus colchicus (ring-necked pheasant), 1207 nucleotides. RefSeq lists it as uncharacterized. Lineage: Eukaryota; Metazoa; Chordata; Aves; Galliformes; Phasianidae. The record is from RefSeq and is a predicted model, not a curated record.